Molecule: ribosomal RNA, 377 nt
Filed under: uncultured bacterium
Lineage: Bacteria
Description: bacterial SSU rRNA
Rfam family: Bacterial small subunit ribosomal RNA
Source: RNAcentral
AUACGUAGGUGGCGAGCGUUGUCCGGAAUUACUGGGUGUAAAGGGCGUGUAGGCGGGGAUGCAAGUCAGAUGUGAAAUACCGAGGCUUAACCUCGGGGCUGCAUCUGAAACUGUGUUUCUUGAGUGUCGGAGAGGAAAGCGGAAUUCCCAGUGUAGCGGUGAAAUGCGUAGAGAUUGGGAGGAACACCAGUGGCGAAGGCGGCUUUCUGGACGACAACUGACGCUGAGGCGCGAAAGCGUGGGGAGCAAACAGGAUUAGAUACCCUGGUAGUCCACGCCGUAAACGAUGGAUACUAGGUGUAGGAGGUAUCGACCCCUUCUGUGCCGGAGUUAACACAAUAAGUAUCCCACCUGGGGAGUACGGCCGCAAGGUUGAA